GCUGGCAUGGUGGUGCAUGCCUGUAGUCCCAGCUACUCAGGAGGCUGAGGUAGGGGGAUCACUUGAGCCCAGGAGGUCAGGGCUGCAGUGAGCUAUGAUGGCACCACUGCACUCUAGCCUGGGCAACAGAGUGAAACCCUGCCUCAA
RNAcentral lists this signal recognition particle RNA (147 nucleotides) under Gorilla gorilla gorilla (western lowland gorilla). RNAcentral's name for it is "Metazoan signal recognition particle RNA". It matches the Rfam family "Metazoan signal recognition particle RNA". Rfam says of the family: The signal recognition particle (SRP) is a universally conserved ribonucleoprotein. It is involved in the co-translational targeting of proteins to membranes. The record is from Rfam by way of RNAcentral. Lineage: Eukaryota; Metazoa; Chordata; Mammalia; Primates; Hominidae.